UCAAUACAUACAUCUUCUUAAAAAUCUAACUACAAAAUUAUUUUCUAGCUUCGUGUUCAUUUCAAAAAUACAUGUACCAAAUCAACCUCCAUUGCUAUUCCCAACAGCAUCACAACAGGAUCAGGAACACAAAGUGUAUGGUUAGCAGUAGAUGAAGAUGGUCACCUAGCCCUUUAGUUUGGUUUUUAAAUCAAGGACUUCAUAUGCCAGCAGCAACUCAACAGCUCACACACACACACAUUUCAUCUUCAAACACAUAAAACUAAAUGCUAAAUUAAUACCUACUAUCAAUUAUAGUUUAUGAUCUAUAAUUUAUAAUGUUUAAUAGUUCACUUCUCAUACCAAAAUAAAAUUAAUUUUUAAAAAUGAUAAAUAAUGAAUUUUAAUUAUGAUCAAUAUAUUAUAUAGAUAUAUAACAGAAAACAGCCUAAAAAACCUAAGAACCAUUUAAUAUUAAUGGUCAUAUUAUACACAUAUUUCGUUAUAGAAAACAAUGCAGACAGUUUGAAAAAAAAACUAUUUUAAAAAAAAAAAGCUUACAUUGUCUGGAAGAUUAUUUCCGGUCAUAUUAAGGCAAAUAUGGCUUGGUUACAACAUCAUCAUUAUGCAUUUCAUAGUAAAAAAAAAACAAAAGUUUCAAGCACAAAGUAAGUGAUAACAACAUGAUUAAAACAAUAUAGUGAUAUGAGUGCUGUUUUAGUGUCCCAAAUAUGUUACAGGUCCUACAACUAAAUCACUCAUACUCUUAUCACACAUUCUCAUUUAUCUAAAAAUUUACAAUCUGAAAGAAGAAAUAGAAUAUUAUUAAAUAUUUUUUUAUUAGAAAAAAAUAACAAAAUAAAAUAAAUAUGAAAAAAAACAAACAGUUGGCACUUGUUAGUUAUCAUGUGUAACUAAGAACUAAAAAAAUGUGACAGACAGCUAAGAACUUCACAGUUGAAGGCAGUAGGCACUGCUGAAAAAUAACCUGCAAUCCAUCAUGCU
Biomphalaria pfeifferi is the source of this 984-nucleotide non-coding RNA. The record is from the annotation of a GenBank genome assembly. Lineage: Eukaryota; Metazoa; Mollusca; Gastropoda; Planorbidae.